UAGGGAAUCUUCCGCAAUGGGCGAAAGCCUGACGGAGCAACGCCGCGUGAGUGAAGAAGGUCUUCGGAUCGUAAAGCUCUGUCUUCAGUGACGAAAAUGACGGUAACUGAGGAGGAAGCCACGGCAAACUACGUGCCAGCAGCCGCGGUAAUACGUAGGUGGCGAGCGUUGUCCGGAAUUACUGGGCGUAAAGCGCGCGUAGACGGCUAGAUAAGUCAGAUGUGAAAGACCCGGGCUCAACCUGGGGGCUGCAUCUGAGACUGACUAGCUUGAGUGCAGGAGAGGCAAGUGGAAUUCCCAGUGUAGCAGUGAAAUGCGUAGAGAUUGGGAGGAACACCAGUGGCGAAGGCGACUUGCUGGACUGUAACUGACGUUGAGGUGCGAAAGCUAGGGGAGCAAACGGG
Molecule: ribosomal RNA, 404 nt
Filed under: uncultured prokaryote
Also listed under: 1 other name
Description: bacterial SSU rRNA
Rfam family: Bacterial small subunit ribosomal RNA
Source: RNAcentral